AGCGAACGCUGGCGGCAGGCCUAACACAUGCAAGUCGAGCGCCCCGCAAGGGGAGCGGCAGACGGGAGAGUAACACGUGGGAACGUACCCUUCAGCUCGGAACAACCCAGGGAAACUUGGGCUAAUACCGGAUACGUCCGUACGGAGAAAGAUUUAUCGCUGAAGGAUCGGCCCGCGUCUGAUUAGGUAGUUGGUGAGGUAACGGCCCACCAAGGCGACGAUCAGUAGCUGGUCUGAGAGGAUGAUCAGCCUCACUGGGACUGAGACACGGCCCAGACUCCUACGGGAGGCAGAAGUGGGGAAUAUUGGACAAUGGGCACAAGCCUGAUCCAGCCAUGCCGCGUGGAUGAUGAAGGCCCUAGGGUUGUAAAGUCCUUUUAACGGGGAAGAUAAUGACGGUACCCGUAGAAUAAGCCCCGGCUAACUUCGUGCCAGCCGCCGCCGUAA
This 447-nucleotide ribosomal RNA is filed under the name uncultured bacterium. RNAcentral's name for it is "partial 16S ribosomal RNA". It matches the Rfam family "Bacterial small subunit ribosomal RNA", at positions 29 to 523 of the family's 1533-position model. The record is from RNAcentral.